GAAGCGGCGCCCAUCCCCCGGCGCUUACCUGGGCGGCGGCGCUCCCCGUCCCCGGGAGCGGAGGCGCGAGAGGAAUCCGCCCGCGUCCGCCUCUCCUCCGUGGUUGUUUUUAUACGGCCAUAGAGACAGACGGGCACAUGUCUGUGUGUGUACACACCGAGAGGUUUGUUUAUUUUUUUGUUGAUCGAAACCACGUUCAUCGCUGGGUGGGCCUUUCCAUCGCACACUGCUUUUGCAGCAGCAUUUCGUGCUCCGGGGCAUUGGUCCCACACUCAUCGGCACUGCAGGGACCGCAAACCACCACGGGCCCCACUGCAGCACCAGGGCCUGUAUGAGGCUCCCACCAAGGCAGGGCUCAGAUGGACCUCCACAACACCGCCCGUCUGCAUAGUGGCCAAAGCGGGACCUCCGUGUCUUUCUGCAGAAUGCGCUUCCACCAGGCCUGGCUCAAUAGGACUGUGGACACACGGGCCACAGACGUAGCUUCUUUUUGUUUAAUAUCUCAGAAUUGCAGGAGGAUCGCACUUGUUCUAACUCUGGAGCUAAGGGUGUGUUUCACUUGCAGCCUAACCCAGGCAGAUUUCGCUACCUGAGCUUCAGCUCCCAAGCAGAUGGGACUCUUCUGCUCCAUAAGAUCGUGAUGAAAGCAGACAGGGUGGGGCUGUGGGUGCAGCAGCACCUCGCAGUGCUCAUUUUUUAGAGCCACGUCCAUGGGCUUCUCUUUGUUUUAGAAGAAGAAUAUUUAAAUUUUGCAGAAAGCAAGUUGGAGUUUUUUUUGCAUCGCAAAGUUGUUUAAUUCUGAGAAAACCGUGGGCCUUCAAUCCGGUUGCUUAAAGAAGACUGAAGUGUCUAGAAAGCUGGGCAGCGUGUUUGUAAUGGCAAACCGCUCAACCUUUAUUUCUGUAAUCGCUUUGAUGGCAAAGCGGACAACUUUCUCUUCUCAGUGCUGGUGUGUAGGCUGUAAGGAUGCAGUAAGUUUAUGAAGUCCAACACCAGAAUUUCAGAGGUCGUUGUCAUCUGAAGGCGAGACGUGAGCUGUUUGCUGAAGGUUGGGAAAUGUAAGAAGGGGAGGAAGAAGUGGCGAGAGACUCGCUCACACCUUCCUGUGUUAUCAUCUCAGAUGUACCGUGCUUCUAAAGGAGUUUAACCUCUCGGUACUCGGAAGGACUUAUUUCCUAGUUAAGAGCAGAUAAGGAGUAAGGGUGGGUGGAGGAAGGGGGAAUGGGAACUUGCACGUAGCCUGAGGCAGAAGGAAAGACGAUAAGGGACCUCAUGUAGAGGACUGCCCUGAAGGAGGACGUGGCAGGGGCUGCAAAACAAGAUAGCAAUAGGAGAUUUAAGCCCAGAAAUGAGGGAGGGAAAACCCCUCAAGUGUGCCUUGUUUGGCCCACAGAAACUGCAAACACUGCCUUCCCAUCCAUCUGCCGAGCAGCGACAACAUGCUGAGCUGAAGUCAUCUGGCUGAAGGUUUCUGUGGUCUCCUGUUCACCAAAUGUUCAGUCACAACUCCAGCAUGCCAGGCUUUCACUUUCGAUUAUCGCGCACUGAGCUGGCGAUUACCUGCGUGCAUGUUCGGCCCUGCAGAAUCCGCGAAGUGCAUUCUGGCAGAUGUAUGCUGCAGUAACGUUCCCCCUUCCAUUUUGUUCCAUUUUCUCUUACUUUACUAUGGCCCCAGCUCAGUGAACACCUCACGAGCCCGCACAGGGCAUUACUUCGUGCUGCCACUUUCCAUGGUCUCGUCACCUCAACUUCUGGGAAGUCUUCUCACAGCCAUAUUUAUAAGGCAUAUCCUUAAAAUAGCUGAAAUUACUUGUAACAGUGAGUGCUCGGCCUACUAAGCACAUACAAGCAAAUAUUUGCAAUAACUGGACCGGUGUUUGCACAGCACCGAGCGCACCGCCUGGACUCCAUAAAUAAUAAUACUUGGCACUCACAGAGGGGUUUCCAUUUUCAAGGCACUUUAGUCAUAACCCUUGACACCUAUAUGGCCUUUUACAUCUUUACAAGAAUUAAUUAAUCCUCGCAGUGUCCUGUGAGAUAGGUAUGCAUUGCAGUAAUAACAAUAACAACAAUUAAUAAUUCAUGCAUUCUACUCGAAAAUCACUUCAGGGAUUAAAAUGCGUCUGUAAUACUAGGGGUUUUUUCAUUAACAUUUUCCAGCAAAUAAUAAAAUCCAUGGUAUUGUGUUAAAUCUGUAUAGUGUCUAACCAUAAAUCUUCUACAGACUGGGACGAAGCUGAAGGCCGAGCGAGAUGCCAGAACAUCAGCACGAAUUAGAUUACUGAGUUCAGAAAAGCAAGCUUGAGCCCAGUCCACCACGCAGCUUAGGUGCCAGAACGAAACUUCCCAUGUAUGGCAGUGCAUAAAUAAAUACGAGCGACCCAGGAA
Gallus gallus (chicken) is the source of this 2388-nucleotide long non-coding RNA. RefSeq lists it as uncharacterized. The record is from RefSeq and is a predicted model, not a curated record. Lineage: Eukaryota; Metazoa; Chordata; Aves; Galliformes; Phasianidae. The transcript has 2 exons.